UGGAGUUUUUAGGAAGAUAGCGGUGGUCAUCUUUUGCCCCCAGCCCUACCCAGAGUCACCUAGGAAGACCCCAGGGGACCAGGUAUGCAGUACAGGAGGUGCACAGUCAUUGCCACACAGUCCCGGAGUGCAACAGACAGUGGAGCCUCAGCAGGCAGCAGUGGGAUGAGCGGGGCUCCUCACAGGAACCCUUCUUUCUGUGGUCAGGAAGACGCUGCCCUUUACCGACACCUGGGGACCCUUCUCCGGCACUGUGUGAUGAUUGCUACUGCUGGAGACCGCACAGAGGAGUUCCAUGGGUGAGGAUGGGGCUUUUUCUGGGAGGGAAGUGUGCCCACAUGUCUAGAUGGUCGUCCUCAACCCUGGCUGUGAACCAGAACCACCUGAGAGCCCAGGCCCCACCCUAGAGGGUCUGACUUUGUCUGGGUGAGUGAGACGACAUCAGUGUGUUUCCAGAGAAUACUGGGUGCUUCUAAUAUGUAGCCAGGACAACAGCCAUGAAUUUGGGGGCAGGAAUGUGCCAACUGGGCCUUGGGUAGUGGCAACAGUAUGGUAUUUACUAGGGCACAUUGGUUCCUUGUCCCCAUUUUUGGUCCACUACCCCUAGGCUGGUCUGGGUUUCCAGAGAUGGUCUGGCGCUUUGGCUCAGACAGAGUGGGGGAGGCAGGGUGUCUCAGUGCCUCCACUUCCCCAGGAGACCCCACUGUACAGCUGAGUGGCAGUGCCUCUCAUAUCAGUCCCUGCCCUUGGCUUUGGUCCCUAGCGCUGCCCCUUUGGGACUCAGAUGCCAGCUCAUGUAAUGUGUGGUUCAGUGGGGGCACAAAGAUUGCACCUGUGCUGAGGGAUUAGCCCCUUUUGAAACCCUCACCUCCAUCUGUCCCCAGCCACGCAGUGAAUCUCCUGGGGAACUGCCCCUGAAGUGUCUGGAUGUUCUCUCACCCUGGAGCCACAUGGAGACUCCGUGGAGUUCAUGGGAGUGAAUAUGGAUGUGAUUCGUGCCCUCCUCAUCUUCCUAGAGAAGCGUUUGCACCAGGUAGGCUGGGGAUGGCUGUGCAGGCUCUCCCAGUGGCUCUGGCACUGGUUCUCGUGCACAGCUGUGGUCAGUGCUUCUACACUGUCCACACUGGUAAGUGGAGAUCGUCUUGGUGGUGUGAUAUGGGCGAUUCUUCCGGCUGUUCUGUGGUCCAGCCUGGCAAGAAGCCAGACCCUUCCUCCAUGAGAAGCAUGUGGACACCUUCCACAACUUGAAGGUUUCACUUCUUAAAUCUUGGUGGAUCUUUAUUGAGUGGUCCUGAGAAGCCCCCAGUCCUGCUUUUAACUCUUAGACACAGGCAGCCCUUGAUUAGAAGCAUAGCUGUCCCUCAGCAUCCUAGGAGACCCAUAGGAACCUCAGAUCAAAGCUUCCCUCUGAUUCCUGUGACUGCACUACAGGGCAUCUGGACAGCUGGGGCUCAACAUCUUCCAGGAGCUUGCAGAAAGCAGGCUGGAAUACAAUAAACCGAGAUUUAGUAGACCUCCUGGGAAUCUACCUGCCCUAAGCAAGGACACACAAGGUGCCUGCAAGCCAGUCAGGAUAGGGAGCUGGCAUUGGACACACAGCUGGGGGUUGUCUGUGCCCGUCACUGCCACUUGCUGGUGCUGGGGUCCAGGCACAUUAUGCUAGGAGGGUCAAGAACUCCCUGCUCUGUCCAUGAAGUACACAGAGCGGGGAUUUGGUUCUCGUUCUUUUUGCCACCAACAUCUGAGGCAAUGUGUGUGCCAGUCUAAAGCUUUAAUUGCUUUGUGUUUUUUCCCAGCUCUGGUUUAUAGCUGAGGUAAUUAGCUUAAAGCAGUUAUUUCUCCCAAGUCACAAAGCUUCCGAGUACCUCUGAGUUACGCUCUAUCCCUGUCCUUUUCAAAAGUGACACAGACCCCACCACCCACUCUUGCCUUCCGCUGACUAACUGCAGAGGAGCCUCUUCCCAACCUCUGCGCCAGGACCAGCUGCUGUGUAUGUUGGUGGGAAGGGGUGGUGGGGAGGUGUAACUCUGUGCCAGUCUCAAAUUAGGCAGGGGCACAGUCCCGGUGACAGAGAAUCCUCUACAGACACACAGGCUGAAGGAGAGUGUAGCUCCCGUGCUGAGCGUGCUGACUGAAUGUGCCCGGAUGCACCGCCCAGCCAGGAAGUUUCUGAAGGCCCAGGUAUGAGGCUGAGGAGCUGGUGCUCCUGGGGGAUGUGGUUUCGGCCCUGAUCACAGACCCUUGGCUGCUCCGAGCCCAAGCUUAGGGAUGGCCACCUCCCCAGGUGCUGCCCCCUCUGCGGGAUGUGAGGACACGGCCUGAGGUUGGAGAGAUGCUGCGGAACAAGCUUGUCCGCCUCAUGACACACCUGGACACAGAUGUGAAGAGGGUGGCUGCCGAGUUCUUGUUUGUCCUGUGCUCUGAGAGUGGUGAGUUAGGGAGACCCAGGUCCCAGCCCACCCCACCUCAGCCAGGCUUGCACACUGACCUCUGCCUUGCCCCUCAGUGCCCCGAUUCAUCAAGUACACGGGCUAUGGGAAUGCUGCUGGCCUUCUGGCUGCCAGGGGCCUCAUGGCGGGAGGCCGGCCCGAGGGCCAGUACUCGGAGGAUGAGGACACAGACACAGAUGAGUACAAGGAAGCCAAGGCCAGGUGUGUGCCCCCAACACACUCUCGGGUCUCCACUCACGGCCCCCUAGUCCCUGCUUCCACCCCCAUGUGGACCCCUGUAGGGUGGGACAAGAUGACAGAUGGGCAAGACCUUCCAGAAUCAAGCACUUGUUGCUAAGUGCUAUCUGGGAUACCAGAAGGUGGCAGAUGGCAGGAGCUGGUUACCUGUGCCACUUCUGGAGGGAGGCCUCUUCUUGCAGUUGCCUUGCCCACCUCACCCCACUGGGAAAACAGGUGGCUUGCCUCCUGUCCUGGAGAGUCACUAACGCAUUCCCCACAUUCCACCCACUGGGAAACAGCAUAAACCCGGUGACCGGGAGGGUGGAGGAGAAGCCGCCUAACCCUAUGGAGGGCAUGACGGAGGAGCAAAAGGAGCACGAGGCCAUGAAGCUGGUGACCAUGUUUGACAAGCUCUCCAGGUGUGUGGCAUGACGAGGAGGGGCCUGCAGCUGGGAGAAGGGAGAGCUGACCCACAUCCUGUCUUGUGAGCCCCAGGAGGUAGGAUCAGAGGAGAGCUUAGGAUCCUGGUAUUAGGUUGCAUUGCUGAUGUUUGAAAUCACUUGCCCUGGAGGAAAUCCCCAAGGGGAUGGGUAUAUUGAGAUCAGUUUGUGCCCCUUUUACAGAUGAUAACUGAGGCCCAGAGAAAUUAAGAGACUGUCUGAGGCUGGGCGUGGUAGCUCAUGCCUAUAAUCCCAGCACUUUGGGAGGCUGAGGCAGGUGGAUCCCAAGGUCAGGAGAUCGAGACCAUCCUGGGCAACAUGGUGAAACCCUGUCUCUGCU
This 3449-nucleotide small RNA is filed under the name Pongo abelii (Sumatran orangutan). Its description in RNAcentral is "retained intron". Lineage: Eukaryota; Metazoa; Chordata; Mammalia; Primates; Hominidae. The record is from RNAcentral.